RNAcentral lists this ribosomal RNA (460 nucleotides) under uncultured bacterium. Its description in RNAcentral is "partial 16S ribosomal RNA". It matches the Rfam family "Bacterial small subunit ribosomal RNA", at positions 338 to 795 of the family's 1533-position model. The record is from RNAcentral.
CCUACGGGAGACAGCAGUGGGGAAUAUUGGUCAAUGGGCGCUACCCUGAACCAGCCAAGCAGCGUGAAGGAUGACUGCCCUAUGGGUUGUAAACUUCUUUUAUAUGGGAAUAAAGUGCAGUAUGUAUAAUGCUUAGCAUGUACCUUAUGAAUAAGGAUCGGCUAACUCCGUGCCAGCAGCCGAGGUAAUACGGAGGGAGCGAGCGUUGUCCGGAUUUACUGGGUGUAAAGGGUGCGUAGGCGGCCAGACAAGUCAGGUGUGAAAUACCGCGGCUCAACUGCGGGGCUGCACUUGAAACUGUAGAGCUUGAGUGAUGGAGAGGUAAGCGGAAUUCCUAGUGUAGCGGUAAAAUGCGUAGAUAUUAGGAGGAACACCGGUGGCGAAGGCGGCUUACUGGACAUUAACUGACGCUGAGGCACGAAAGCGUGGGGAGUAAACAGGAUUAGAUACCCUAGUAGUC